UAGGAUUCCCUCAGUAGCUGCGAGCGAACAGGGAAGAGCCCAGCACCGAAUCCCGCGGCCGAUACCGGGCGCCGGGAAAUGUGGUGUUAGGGAGGUUCCGUUAUCCCGAGAUCGUCCGGCGCGUCCAAGUCCUUCUUGAACGGGGCCACAGCCCAUAGAGGGUGCCAGGCCCGUAGCGACCGCCGUCGAUCGCGGGAGGGAUCUCCUCAGAGUCGGGUUGCUUGAGAGUGCAGCCCUAAGCGGGUGGUAAACUCCAUCUAAGGCUAAAUAUGACCACGAGACCGAUAGCGAACAAGUACCGUGAGGGAAAGUUGAAAAGCACUUUGAAGAGAGAGUUCAAUAGUACGUGAAACCGUUUAGGGGUAAACCUGAGAAACCCGAAAGGUCGAAGGGAGAAAUUCAUUCGCGUUUCGGAGUCGGCGCGAGACGUUCGCGCGACGGGGAGGACGGUUACCCGUUACCUUUUCCGCGCCUUACGUUUUUCGACCCGGCAUCGAACGCGUGCACUUUUCUCCUGGUAGGACGUCGCGAUCCGUCGGGCGUCGGUCUAAGGUCCGCGGCGGAGCCCGCGCGGUUUUCUCGAAUCGCGCGGACCCGCGGUAUCCUGACCGACUCGCUCGACGGUACGAGAAAGGUCACGGGUCGCUUUAAAAGCGUUCGACUCGCGGCAAGCGCUCCGGAUACUAGUCGGCUAUCGGACCCGGUGCCGGUACCGACCUCCGGUGACUGUUGGCCUCGAAGUUCUCGAACCGACCCUCGCUCGUAAAAAAGCGUGACCGAUCUGCGACGCUAUAGCUUUGGGUACUUUCAGGACCCGUCUUGAAACACGGACCAAGGAGUCUAGCAUGUGCGCGAGUCAUUGGGAUUCGCUAAACCUAAAGGCGUAAUGAAAGUAAAGGUUCGUCUCGCGCGAACCGAGGGAGGAUGGGCGAUUCGCCUUUAAAGCGGUCGCCUCGCACUCCCGGGGCGUCUCGUUCUCAUCGCGAGAAGAGGCGCACCAAGAGCGUACACGCUGGGACCCGAAAGAUGGUGAACUAUGCCUGGUCAGGACGAAGUCAGGGGAAACCCUGAUGGAGGUCCGUAGCGAUUCUGACGUGCAAAUCGAUCGUCGGAACUGGGUAUAGGGGCGAAAGACUAAUCGAACCAUCUAGUAGCUGGUUCCCUCCGAAGUUUCCCUCAGGAUAGCUGGCGCUCGUAGCGUACGAGUUUCAUCCGGUAAAGCGAAUGAUUAGAGGCAUUGGGGUCGAAACGACCUCAACCUAUUCUCAAACUUUAAAUGGGUGAGAUCUCCGGCUUGCUCGAACUAUAUAUAUUUAUUUAUAUAUAUGAAGCCGCGAGAGACACGAAUCAGAGUGCCAAGUGGGCCAUUUUUG
RNAcentral lists this ribosomal RNA (1373 nucleotides) under Cylas formicarius (sweet potato weevil). RNAcentral describes it as "eukaryotic LSU rRNA". It matches the Rfam family "Eukaryotic large subunit ribosomal RNA", at positions 70 to 1139 of the family's 3401-position model. Lineage: Eukaryota; Metazoa; Arthropoda; Insecta; Coleoptera; Brentidae. The record is from RNAcentral.